UGGGGAAUUUUGGACAAUGGGGGAAACCCUGAUCCAGCCAUCCCGCGUGUGCGAUGAAGGCCUUCGGGUUGUAAAGCACUUUUGGCAGGAAAGAAACGUCAUGGGUUAAUACCCCGUGAAACUGACGGUACCUGCAGAAUAAGCACCGGCUAACUACGUGCCAGCAGCCGCGGUAAUACGUAGGGUGCAAGCGUUAAUCGGAAUUACUGGGCGUAAAGCGUGCGCAGGCGGUUCGGAAAGAAAGAUGUGAAAUCCCAGAGCUCAACUUUGGAACUGAAUUUUUAACUACCGGGAUAGAGUGUGUCAGAGGGAGGUGGAAUUCCGCGUGUAGCAGUGAAAUGCGUAGAUAUGCGGAGGAACACCGAUGGCGAAGGCAGCCUCCUGGGAUAACACUGACGCUCAUGCACGAAAGCGUGGGGAGCAAACAGG
Molecule: ribosomal RNA, 429 nt
Filed under: Acidobacteriota bacterium
Lineage: Bacteria; Pseudomonadati; Acidobacteriota
Description: Acidobacteria bacterium partial 16S ribosomal RNA
Rfam family: Bacterial small subunit ribosomal RNA
Source: RNAcentral